Pelobates cultripes (western spadefoot toad) is the source of this 313-nucleotide non-coding RNA. The record is from the annotation of a GenBank genome assembly. NCBI's taxonomy places the organism in Eukaryota, Metazoa, Chordata, Amphibia, Anura, Pelobatidae.
GGGAGGAAGUGACUGCCGUGAGUCACUUCCUCCCAGAUAGAAUGAAGCCGCGCGGGAUGGAGCAGGAGGCCGUCAGGAGGGAGCUGGAGUGCAGGAACCUCACACUCCCAACGACCUCAGCCUGCAGCUGGACCCCAGGGAAUCCAUAAGGUAGGGCUGGAGGGUGGCUUUAUAAAUGUAAACUUUGCAUGUGUGUGUGUCAGUAUUUGUGUGAGUCAGUAUGUCUGUGUGUGUCUUAGUAUGUGUGUGAGUAUGUAUGUCAGGGUUUCUGUGUGUGUCUUAGUAUGUGUGUAUGUGUGUGAGUUUGUCUGUC